UGCUGUCGUUGCAGUCGGUGUUGAUCAUCAUGAUCAUCCUCAUCAUCAUCAUGGUGGUCAUGGAGAAGAUCAUCAUCAUCAUCAUCAUCAUCAUCA
RNAcentral lists this microRNA precursor (96 nucleotides) under Guillardia theta CCMP2712. Its description in RNAcentral is "microRNA mir-598". Lineage: Eukaryota; Cryptophyceae; Pyrenomonadales; Geminigeraceae. The record is from RNAcentral.